Molecule: ribosomal RNA, 253 nt
Filed under: uncultured bacterium
Lineage: Bacteria
Description: partial 16S ribosomal RNA
Rfam family: Bacterial small subunit ribosomal RNA
Source: RNAcentral
UACAGAGGUCUCAAGCGUUGUUCGGAUUCAUUGGGUGUAAAGGGUGCGUAGGUGGCGCCGUAAGGCAGGUGUGAAAUUUCGGAGCUUAACUCCGAAACUGCAUUUGAUACUGCGGUGCUUGAGGACUGGAGAGGAGACUGGAAUUUACGGUGUAGCAGUGAAAUGCGUAGAGAUCGUAAGGAAGACCAGUGGCGAAGGCGGGUCUCUGGACAGUUCCUGACAUUGAGGCACGAAGGUCAGGGGAGCAAACAGG